RNAcentral lists this ribosomal RNA (199 nucleotides) under uncultured Actinomycetales bacterium. RNAcentral describes it as "partial 16S ribosomal RNA". It matches the Rfam family "Bacterial small subunit ribosomal RNA", at positions 131 to 334 of the family's 1533-position model. The record is from RNAcentral. Lineage: Bacteria; Bacillati; Actinomycetota; Actinomycetes; Actinomycetales.
UGCUACUUCGGGAUAAGCCUGGGAAACUGGGUCUAAUACCGGAUAGGACGAUGGUUUGGAUGCCAUUGUGGAAAGUCUUUCGGUGUGGGAUGAGCUCGCGGCCUAUCAGCUUGUUGGUGGGGUAAUGGCCUACCAAGGCGUCGACGGGUAGCCGGCCUGAGAGGGUGUACGGCCACAUUGGGACUGAGAUACGGCCCAG